Molecule: long non-coding RNA, 1207 nt
Organism: Anolis sagrei ordinatus
Lineage: Eukaryota; Metazoa; Chordata; Lepidosauria; Squamata; Anolidae
Source: RefSeq, a predicted model, not a curated record
GUUAGCCGGAAUCUGUUUCUGGGAUUUAAGAGUGGCCGUGAGGGGAAUUUCCUCAGACCAAGCAUCGAUUCGUUCAAGUACAAAGCUCCAGGGUUUUCCAGUUUCCAGCAGCCUGGUCUCCAAGGGAAUUCCUGGCUUCAAGUGAGAUUUGGCAGGGGCUAAUCUGUUCAUGGAUUUCUAUUGAGAGUAUUCUGGAUUUUACUGCUUUGGAUUUUCUGCAAGCUUUCUGGACAUUGCUGUUUGCUGUUUCAUUUUGACUUCUUUACCUUUGGACUUCUAUCAUUCAAUAAAAAGGGAUUGUAUUUUUCCUAAACCAAGGUGUGGUGUAUUAAUGACAAGAGGGCUCGGUUUCCUGCACUGGAGUGCAACAAAUGGAAGGAAAAAGGAAGAGGGGCCGACCAAGGGCAAGAUGGAUGGAUGGCAUCCUUGAAGUGACUGGACUGACCUUGAAGGAGCUGGGGGUGGUGACGGCCGACAGGGAGCUCUAGCGUGGGCCGGUCCAUGAGGUCACGAAGAGUUGGAAACGACUGAACGAAUGAACAACAACAAUGGACAUCCUGCAGAACAUUUUGCCGUAGUCUCAACCAAUUCAACAUAGUUUGUGGCAGCCACAAAAACAAAGCUUCCGGAGUAUAACAACUACUUUCAAAGUACCUCUGUGGCUUUCUAGUGUUUGGCAUAUACUGUACGUGUUUAACAUAAUCUCAGAGCCAUGUUUGAUCCAGAAUGUUAAUCAAACAUUUAGAAUUGGGCUCCUGACAACUUAUCAAAUAUUUAGAACUAUUUUGUGCUGGGAAACAGGGUGCACUCUGAGUCCUGUUUCCUAGUAAAAUAACUGGGAUUUCUACAGCUUCUUCAGUGACAGCAGCUGCUUCAGCAAAAAGAAGGCCCUCAAGAAUUCCAGGGAUACAAAUGAAGUUCUCAAAGCUGCCCAUUCAGUAGUGUGAUAAAUGAAAUGAAGAAAGCUAGGCACAGAUUUGAUACAGUAAAAUGAAUGGGACAAGUUAUGACUACGAUAUCCCGCAGUGUGAUGAACUUGCUCUAGAUCCAACCUAUUUUAAAAUAUUAUUUUAUACAGAACAUCCAAAAUUAAAUCUGAAAGUGUGUUACCAUGCAAUCCUACAUAUGACUACCCAGCAGAAAGUCCCACUGGAUGCAAUGGAAUUUGUCACCUCAUCAUUGUAGAAUCUUAGAAUAUUGUCAUAAU